This is a non-coding RNA of Vicugna pacos (alpaca), 671 nucleotides long. Lineage: Eukaryota; Metazoa; Chordata; Mammalia; Artiodactyla; Camelidae. The record is from RefSeq and is a predicted model, not a curated record.
GCAGCCCACAGCACAGUAUGUACCUCGAUCUCCUCUCCCCUCUCGGCAGGGCUUGCAACAUGAGCAUCCCUGAGUACGUGCAGUGUGCUGAGGACUAUGGGACUCUUCCCGUGGUGGUCCAACCCAUGGGGAUCAUCUCAAAGGAGAAUUUCUUUUGCAUCUAUAAGCGAAUCUCCUUGGUGAGCCAGAUCAGCCCGUGCGUCUCCCAGUGGGCACUCUGUAUCCACUACAGGCACCACUAUGCACCUGAGAAUGGGUGGAGCGACUUUCAGACCCACCGCAAGGUAGUGGGCCCCGUCACCAGUACCUACUGCCUCUCAGCCAAGGCCUUCGAGAAGCUCCACGUGCAGAGGAGCUGUAUGGCACCAUGCUUAAUGACACUCAGCUAUUUGUCUUUGUGCUGUAUGGGGAGGUAGACGAGCAGUCGCUCACCAACGUGGCCUUCAAUCUACGAGGACUGCAGGGUGGUGGAGAAGAGGAUCGACGACUUCACUGAAUCACUCUUCAUCUUGCCCAAGUCCAAGUAGCUGGAUGGGGCCCUCGACAAGUCUGGGGACAAGAUCACCCUCCUCUGCAUCCCGUUUGAGAAGGAGGAUGUCAUGGGACUGGACACAGACAGCAGUGCCCAGUGAGCAUGUUGUUGCUUCUGAAAAUGUGGGCUGUGCACACCC